This 274-nucleotide ribosomal RNA is filed under the name uncultured bacterium. Its description in RNAcentral is "partial 16S ribosomal RNA". It matches the Rfam family "Bacterial small subunit ribosomal RNA", at positions 523 to 796 of the family's 1533-position model. The record is from RNAcentral.
AUACAGAGGGUGCGAGCGUUGUCCGGAUUCACUGGGCGUAAAGCGCGCGUAGGCGGUUUUGUAUGUCACGUGUGAAAUCCCGGAGCUCAAUUCCGGGGCUGCAUGUGAAACUGCGAGACUAGAGCUCGGUAGAGGCAAGUGGAAUUCCCGGUGUAGCGGUGGAAUGCGUAGAUAUCGGGAAGAACACCAGUGGCGAAGGCGGCUUGCUGGGCCGAUGCUGGCGCUGAGGUGCGAAAGCGUGGGGAGCAAACAGGAUUAGAUACCCCGGUAGUCC